This 848-nucleotide ribosomal RNA is filed under the name Oenococcus oeni. Its description in RNAcentral is "bacterial LSU rRNA". It matches the Rfam family "Bacterial large subunit ribosomal RNA", at positions 1130 to 2004 of the family's 2925-position model. Lineage: Bacteria; Bacillati; Bacillota; Bacilli; Lactobacillales; Lactobacillaceae. The record is from RNAcentral.
GUGCGUAAUAGCUCACUAGUCGAGUGCUCUUGCGCGGAUAAUGUACCGGGGCUAAGCAUAUUACCGAAACUGUGGAUGCAUAAGCAUGGUAGGAUAGCGUAAUUAACGCGAUGAAGGAUGACCGUAAGGACAUGUUGGAGCGUUAACUAGUGAGAAUUCCGGUAUGAGUAGCGAAAGAUAGGUGAGAAUCCUAUCCACCGAAUGAGUAAGGUUUCCCCCGGAAGGCUCGUCCGCGGGGGGUUAGUCGGGACCUAAGGCGAGGCUGAAAAGCGUAGUCGAUGGACAACAGGUUGAUAUUCCUGUACCGAUAUUUAAUUGCCGAAGGAAGGACGCAGAAGGAUAACACAGGCCACUAUUGGAUGUGGUUUUAAACAGUUAGUCUUCAUAAGAGUCAAAUGCUUUUAUGUUUAAGGAUAAGCUGUGAAUGUACCAAGUUUACUUGGAAAUUGUGUGAUUUCACGCUGCUGAAAAAAGUUUCGUAGGAAGAAAAUAUUGCCCGUACCGCAAACCGACACAGGUACUCAAGUGGAGAACACUAAGGUGAGCGAGUGAACUAUUGUUAAGGAACUCUGCAAAAUGAGUCCGUAACUUCGGAAGAAGGACUGCUGGUUUUAUACCAGCCGCAGCAAAUAGGCCCAAACAACUGUUUAUCAAAAACACAGGUUUCUGCAAAAUCGUAAGAUGAAGUAUAGGGGCUGACGCCUGCCCAGUGCUGGAAGGUUAAAAGGAGGACUUAGCUUCGGCGAAGGUCUUAAUUGAAGCCCCAGUGAACGGCGGCCGUAACUAUAACGGUCCUAAGGUAGCGAAAUUCCUUGUCGGGUAAGUUCCGACCCGCAUGAAAGGCGUAA